RNAcentral lists this ribosomal RNA (229 nucleotides) under uncultured bacterium. RNAcentral's name for it is "partial 16S ribosomal RNA". It matches the Rfam family "Bacterial small subunit ribosomal RNA", at positions 568 to 796 of the family's 1533-position model. The record is from RNAcentral.
UGCGUAGGCGGAUUAAUAAGUCAGUGGUGAAAUCUUUCGGCUCAACCGAGAAACUGCCAUUGAUACUGUUAAUCUUGAGUUCGGUUGAGGUAGGCGGAAUGUGUAAUGUAGCGGUGAAAUACUUAGAUAUUACACAGAACACCAAUUGCGUAGGCAGCUUACUAGACCGACACUGACGCUGAGGCACGAAAGCGUGGGGAGCGAACAGGAUUAGAUACCCUGGUAGUCC